ACUGAGUCUGCGCAAAGCCAGAGGCGGCUGGGUGUUGUAGUUCUCACGACAACGGUGAAGCACCUAUGCUAACUACAUCGCUGCAGCAGCAAGGUCACAUUGUUUGAACCGAGGACCAGGAUGGCAGAAAUCUGUGUCUCCUCUGUCAUCAUGGGUGAUGUGAGAUCUCUGGACAAUCAGAUGGACGAGCCCGCGGCCCUCGUCAGGAAUCAGAGAGACUUCCUUGAGAGUCUUGUUGUGUGUUUCACAGAGACAUGAUCACAGGUUUCUGCCUUUUCCACGUGUAAUUUAGAUGGAGCUGCACCAGAAACAAACAAUAACAAAUAAAACCACGUCUUAAAAAAUCUU
Long non-coding RNA from Lates calcarifer (barramundi perch), 348 nucleotides. RefSeq lists it as uncharacterized. Lineage: Eukaryota; Metazoa; Chordata; Actinopteri; Centropomidae. The transcript has 3 exons. The record is from RefSeq and is a predicted model, not a curated record.